This 440-nucleotide ribosomal RNA is filed under the name uncultured Mycoplasma sp. Its description in RNAcentral is "bacterial SSU rRNA". It matches the Rfam family "Bacterial small subunit ribosomal RNA", at positions 349 to 782 of the family's 1533-position model. Lineage: Bacteria; Bacillati; Mycoplasmatota; Mollicutes; Mycoplasmatales; Mycoplasmataceae. The record is from RNAcentral.
CAGCAGUAGGGAAUUUUCCGCAAUGAGCGAAAGCUUGACGGAGCGACACAGCGUGCAGGAUGAAGGUCUUCGGAUUGUAAACUGCUGUUGUAAGGGAAGAAAAAAUUUAAUAGGAAAUGAUUAAAUCUUGACAGUACCUUAUUAGAAAGUGACGGCUAACUAUGUGCCAGCAGCCGCGGUAAUACAUAGGUCACAAGCGUUAUCCGGAAUUAUUGGGCGUAAAGCGUUCGUAGGCGGUUUGUCAAGUCUAGAGUUAAAGCCUGAGGCUCAACCUCAGCCCGCUUUGGAUACUGACUGACUAGAGUUACAUAGAGGUAAACGGAAUUCUUAGUGAAGCGGUGGAAUGCGUAGAUAUUAGGAAGAACACCAAUGGCGAAGGCAGUUUACUGGAUGUAUACUGACGCUCAGGGACGAAAGCGUGGGGAGCAAACAGGAUUAGA